GAUGAACGCUGGCGGCGUGCCUAACACAUGCAAGUCGAGCGAAGCGCCUUACUUGAUUUCUUCGGGAUGAAAGUAUUGUGACUGAGCGGCGGACGGGUGAGUAACGCGUGGAUAACCUGCCUCAUACAGGGGGAUAGCAGUUAGAAAUGACUGCUAAUACCGCAUAAGACCACAGCACCGCAUGGUGCAGGGGUAAAAACUCCGGUGGUAUGAGAUGGAUCCGCGUCUGAUUAGCUAGUUGGUAAGGUAACGGCUUACCAAGGCAACGAUCAGUGGCCGGCCUGAGAGGGUGAACGGCCACAUUGGGACUGAGACACGGCCCAG
Molecule: ribosomal RNA, 324 nt
Filed under: uncultured bacterium
Lineage: Bacteria
Description: bacterial SSU rRNA
Rfam family: Bacterial small subunit ribosomal RNA
Source: RNAcentral